RNAcentral lists this long non-coding RNA (2754 nucleotides) under Monomorium pharaonis (pharaoh ant). RNAcentral describes it as "uncharacterized LOC114255238". The record is from RNAcentral. Lineage: Eukaryota; Metazoa; Arthropoda; Insecta; Hymenoptera; Formicidae.
ACUAUUAUUUCUUUAUACCAAACAAAACUUUUAUAAAAAAAGAAACUAGUAUAAACAAACAUGGACAUAUUUUAUAUGAACAUUUUAUAUAUGUUAUAUGAAAAGUUUUCAUUGAAUCUGAUUCUUAAAUAUCACAAAUUCAUAAACUGCAUAUGCACCUUUGUCUUAUAAAUUUUUGGAUUUUAAAUUUUCAGUCAUAGAUCUGUGAUCUUGUAGGACUUUCUAUUCUUGGUGAAAUUAAACAAUAUUCAUAAAAUUAUAAAAUUUUAAUAUUUAUAAUAAAAUUGAUUCUAAUCUUCAACUUUUAAAUCAAUAAGAGAAUUAGGUUCAAAUUUUACAUCUUAUUUACAGACAUUCAAAUGUAAUAAUAAAAUAAAACAAUUUGUAAAAAUUGAAAUUUUUUAAUGCGUUACCUUGAAACGUGACACAUCUUUAAUCUCGCAUUAAACAAAUCUUUGGGAUAAGGCCAGCGCGCUAAUCGCGUGAACGACGGCCAAUUCGCCCAUUCAUUCGCAUUUCGGGAGCAUGACUAGUGUCACAUGGCAGUCGAUUGUCACGUAUGUAUACGCGACGAACUUGCUUGCACCACACGCGUGACACAUUCUAACAUGAGUGGGAGUGACUACAAUCGAUUGUAUGUGACUGACGUUACAUCGCCAUGGUGACACGCGAAAACAAAUACGCGCGAUCGCAUGGGACACGCUGACCCACAGUAAGCCGCACGAGUUCAGUGUGUCACGUAUACGACAGAAAAGGACCGAGAGCUCCGUCAGCCUUCGACCUGCACGAGGAAAGCACGGCGAAAGCGCUCUCGCUAACGACGAAUUUGCAGGGACAAUAAAGUUGCAACUAUAGUUGCAUACAGAAUCCAUCAUUCAACGAAAUGAAAGUAGAAAUUAAGAAAGUAAGAUAAAUUAUCAAUAAAUGCCACAUAUCAUAAUUAUAAUAAUUAUGUAUGAUAAUAGUAAUAAUAAUAAUAACUCAAAUUUAUUGAUUCCAUUUUGUAAUUAAAUCCAACUGACGAAUGUAUAUAUGUUUGCUACGUUGUAAUUAAUUACUAAAUUAUUAAUAAAUAUUAAUUACUUAUUACCUUGUGUGUACGUUAUUUAGGACACUAAUUAGAAUAAUCAAUGAUCAAUUAAAAUAAAUCUUAAUAAUUUUUCUUACGAUAGCCAGGCAUAUUAUGAAUUUCAAAAUAAGAUACAUAUAUCACAAGCAAACACAUCAAUAGACUUGAUUGUUUACGGAAGUGCGUAAUUAUUAUCUUCGUAAUUAACGUAUUAUUUUACAUAGCGAGGACAAGCAUCAUGUUUUCCAUCUCGUUUGAAAAAAUACCUGAAGAUUCUGAGAACAACAUAUUUUCUAUUCAGGCGCGUUAGAUCGAAAUCAAUCAAUUAGAAUGGCAAAAGGCCGAACAUGUGUCACGAGAAAACGGAGUAAACAUACGUAAGCAUAGAUAUACAUGAAAAAAAAAAAAUUAUUACAGGUGAAACGGGAAAAACAGAAGUGUAUUGUAUUGCAUGUAUACAUUCAUAUGUUAAUCUACGUUAUAUGUUAAGCCCCGCAACACCGUCGCGCGAUGAUAUUUUCUGUGACAUAAAUUUAAAUUGGCCGCAAACUGCAGUGUGUCGACACUCGACACGCGCAUUGUCUUCCUACGUAAUAAUAACGGUCAUUAAGAGAAGUCUGCAAAGGAAAAAAAAAAAGAGGUUCAUAUCGGUUUACUUGCGCGAUUUUUCACAAGUCCGCGCCUGUAUUUCGUUAUUUUAGAAGGACUGCUCGGCAGAUAAAUCAUUCCAAUUUAUUUGCAUAUCUGUGGGCGCGGUGCUCGGGACAAACGCUCGCAGAUUAACGACUGGCGACAGUGUACUCGAUGCAUAAAGCUUUCAUAAGAUUCGACAUUUUUCUAUUCUCGCAAUGUGGGUCAGUGUCGGCGACGGCUGGUUCAUUUACUUACGGCACGUAACGAAAGAUCGCCCUUGUACAGGCGUAUCGUGCACGAAUGACAGGACAGCUUAUCAGGGAAAUUAGCAUUGCGGCAUUGUUAUCGAAAACUUUAUCAUCGCGGAAAAGUACUUGAAAAAAAUGUUUGCGAAUUGUGGAAAGUGAAACGCUUUCACCUAAUUCUAUUUUUUUAUAUUCUGAUAGAAAUCUAAUUCGUUUGGAUAUGCUUAUGUUUAUAAUUAAAAAUUCAUAAAUUUAAGAAUGAAAAAAAUAUUUCGUAAACUUAAACAACGAUUUCAAAAUUCAGUAGAGAUGUCUUAGCUUCAUAGUGCAUUUGCAAAGCCAAGAACAAUUAAAAAACAAUGAAAAAUGUUUUAAGAAUGAUUAAAAUAAACGAUUGAAAUAAAAACAAUGAUUAAAAAAUAAUUUAUUCACAGGCGUAUUUAAUUUUUAACGAGGGAAUAGAUAAAUGACUUCUAUACAUACGUAGGACAUAGAAUUGUCACGUGGAGAACGGAAAGAAUGACAACAAAACGGUCACACCAAUUUACUAUUAUGAACAAUUAUGACAUAAAACGCACGUGUCUGCAAGUCUUAAAUAAAGAUUCAAUUCGUUAACACCUCGUGUUCAUCUACAAAUUAUCCAUUCGUUUUACUCACUUAUCGUCCAUUUCUAUUCAUAUUCUAAUAUAAAAAACUUUAGAAAAAUUUUCUUAAAAAAUAUAAAAAUUCUUAGUUUGUAUAUGAAUAUCAUACAUACAACAACAAACAAAAUAAUUUACAAACUUGACUCGAAAUAAUUAAAAAAAA